AGCAACGUUAUGCAAUGGUACGAACUCGUUAGUUUGUCAGGAAGACGGAUCGUGGAAAGGAAACUCAGGGUGCAAGCCUCAACUACCUCUAACGUGUAGCGGUAAGGAUCCAUGUACAAACGCUGUAGCUAGUGGAGGUAGCCAAUAGAGACUGUGUUACGGAGCGGACGACUAUGGGUGUCAUCCCACUAAAGGCCGUCUGGAAGUACUGCGAGAUGAGGAGUGGCGAGGUGUUUGUGAUGACCAAUGGAAUGAUGACUACAAUUUCCAUAGAAAUCUACUAGUCGCAUGCAGAUCUUUGGGCUUCCAGUACGGUGUUGAAUGGAUAAAGAUUUCAGCGAACAACAUCAUUGAGGACAUUGAUUUCUGGCUCGAUGAAGUGAUAUGUUCAGGUUUUGAGUCAAAUCUCAAUGAGUGCAAACAAAACCCAUGGGGAGUUAAUGAUUGCAAUCCUACCAAGUACAUCGGGAUCUCAUGCGGCAAUCCAUGCUCCGAGGCGUCCACGUUUCCUCCACCAAGAAGUGGAUAAUUUAAACAAAUGAUACAUGAAGUGCAACAUGCAGAUAUAGAUCUUUAUUUAUAGCUGAAACCAUGUGUAAUACAUCUUUAUUUCUUUGAGAGAACUUGAAAUUUAACAUCGAAUAGAGUAAAACUUUAACAUGUCAAAAUAUUACACGCAGUCACACAAACUAUGUCUGAUUUCAGCAAAUUGAUAGUGAAAGAAGUACUUUUACUUGUUCAGUUGAUUAGGAUUUUGGAAAAUAAAAGACACACAUGUAUAAAUACUGGCAAUCCUUUGAAAGGGAAGAAUAUGUUAAAACAGUUCUUGGUAGAGGU
Long non-coding RNA from Mya arenaria, 837 nucleotides. RefSeq lists it as uncharacterized. The transcript has 3 exons. The record is from RefSeq and is a predicted model, not a curated record. NCBI's taxonomy places the organism in Eukaryota, Metazoa, Mollusca, Bivalvia, Myida, Myidae.